AUUGAACGMUGSCGGCAGGCCUAACACAUGCAAGUCGAACGGUAACAGGAAGAAGCUUGCUUCUUUGCUGACGAGUGGCGGACGGGUGAGUAAUGUCUGGGAAACUGCCUGAUGGAGGGGGAUAACUACUGGAAACGGUAGCUAAUACCGCAUAACGUCGCAAGACCAAAGAGGGGGACCUUCGGGCCUCUUGCCAUCGGAUGUGCCCAGAUGGGAUUAGCUAGUAGGUGGGGUAACGGCUCACCUAGGCGACGAUCCCUAGCUGGUCUGAGAGGAUGACCAGCCACACUGGAACUGAGACACGGUCCAGACUCCUACGGGAGGCAGCAGUGGGGAAUAUUGCACAAUGGGCGCAAGCCUGAUGCAGCCAUGCCGCGUGUAUGAAGAAGGCCUUCGGGUUGUAAAGUACUUUCAGCGGGGAGGAAGGGAGUAAAGUUAAUACCUUUGCUCAUUGACGUUACCCGCAGAAGAAGCACCGGCUAACUCCGUGCCAGCAGCCGCGGCAAUACGGAGGGUGCAAGCGUUAAUCGGAAUUACUGGGCGUAAAGCGCACGCAGGCGGUUUGUUAAGUCAGAUGUGAAAUCCCCGGGCUCAACCUGGGAACUGCAUCUGAUACUGGCAAGCUUGAGUCUCGUAGAGGGGGGUAGAAUUCCAGGUGUAGCGGUGAAAUGCGUAGAGAUCUGGAGGAAUACCGGUGGCGAAGGCGGCCCCCUGGACGAAGACUGACGCUCAGGUGCGAAAGCGUGGGGAGCAAACAGGAUUAGAUACCCUGGUAGUCCACGCCGUAAACGAUGUCGACUUGGAGGUUGUGCCCUUGAGGCGUGGCUUCCGGAGCUAACGCGUUAAGUCGACCGCCUGGGGAGUACGGCCGCAAGGUUAAAACUCAAAUGAAUUGACGGGGGCCCGCACAAGCGGUGGAGCAUGUGGUUUAAUUCGAUGCAACGCGAAGAACCUUACCUGGUCUUGACAUCCACAGAACUUUCCAGAGAUGGAUUGGUGCCUUCGGGAACUGUGAGACAGGUGCUGCAUGGCUGUCGUCAGCUCGUGUUGUGAAAUGUUGGGUUAAGUCCCGCAACGAGCGCAACCCUUAUCCUUUGUUGCCAGCGGUCCGGCCGGGAACUCAAAGGAGACUGCCAGUGAUAAACUGGAGGAAGGUGGGGAUGACGUCAAGUCAUCAUGGCCCUUACGACCAGGGCUACACACGUGCUACAAUGGCGCAUACAAAGAGAAGCGACCUCGCGAGAGCAAGCGGACCUCAUAAAGUGCGUCGUAGUCCGGAUUGGAGUCUGCAACUCGACUCCAUGAAGUCGGAAUCGCUAGUAAUCGUGGAUCAGAAUGCCACGGUGAAUACGUUCCCGGGUCUUGUACACACCGCCCGUCACACCAUGGGAGUGGGUUGCAAAA
RNAcentral lists this ribosomal RNA (1404 nucleotides) under uncultured bacterium. Its description in RNAcentral is "bacterial SSU rRNA". It matches the Rfam family "Bacterial small subunit ribosomal RNA". The record is from RNAcentral.